RNAcentral lists this ribosomal RNA (765 nucleotides) under Burkholderia sp. Its description in RNAcentral is "bacterial SSU rRNA". It matches the Rfam family "Bacterial small subunit ribosomal RNA", at positions 24 to 782 of the family's 1533-position model. The record is from RNAcentral. Lineage: Bacteria; Pseudomonadati; Pseudomonadota; Betaproteobacteria; Burkholderiales; Burkholderiaceae.
UCAGAUUGAACGCUGGCGGCAUGCCUUACACAUGCAAGUCGAACGGCAGCACGGGUGCUUGCACCUGGUGGCGAGUGGCGAACGGGUGAGUAAUACAUCGGAACAUGUCCUGUAGUGGGGGAUAGCCCGGCGAAAGCCGGAUUAAUACCGCAUACGAUCUAUGGAUGAAAGCGGGGGACCUUCGGGCCUCGCGCUAUAGGGUUGGCCGAUGGCUGAUUAGCUAGUUGGUGGGGUAAAGGCCUACCAAGGCGACGAUCAGUAGCUGGUCUGAGAGGACGACCAGCCACACUGGGACUGAGACACGGCCCAGACUCCUACGGGAGGCAGCAGUGGGGAAUUUUGGACAAUGGGCGAAAGCCUGAUCCAGCAAUGCCGCGUGUGUGAAGAAGGCCUUCGGGUUGUAAAGCACUUUUGUCCGGAAAGAAAUCCUUGACUCUAAUACAGUCGGGGGAUGACGGUACCGGAAGAAUAAGCACCGGCUAACUACGUGCCAGCAGCCGCGGUAAUACGUAGGGUGCGAGCGUUAAUCGGAAUUACUGGGCGUAAAGCGUGCGCAGGCGGUUUGCUAAGACCGAUGUGAAAUCCCCGGGCUCAACCUGGGAACUGCAUUGGUGACUGGCAGGCUAGAGUAUGGCAGAGGGGGGUAGAAUUCCACGUGUAGCAGUGAAAUGCGUAGAGAUGUGGAGGAAUACCGAUGGCGAAGGCAGCCCCCUGGGCCAAUACUGACGCUCAUGCACGAAAGCGUGGGGAGCAAACAGGAUUAGA